This 496-nucleotide ribosomal RNA is filed under the name uncultured bacterium. RNAcentral describes it as "partial 16S ribosomal RNA". It matches the Rfam family "Bacterial small subunit ribosomal RNA", at positions 29 to 507 of the family's 1533-position model. The record is from RNAcentral.
AUGCACGCUGGCGGCGUGCCUAAUACAUGCAAGUCGCGCGAACAGAUGAGGAGCUUGCUCCUCUGACGUUAGCGGCGGACGGGUGAGUAACACGUGGAUAACCUACCUAUAAGACUGGGAUAACUUCGGGAAACCGGAGCUAAUACCGGAUAAUAUAUUGAACCGCAUGGUUCAAUAGUGAAAGACGGUUUUGCUGUCACUUAUAGAUGGAUCCGCGCCGCAUUAGCUAGUUGGUAAGGUAACGGCUUACCAAGGCAACGAUGCGUAGCCGACCUGAGAGGGUUAUUGGCCACACUGCAACUGAGACACGGUCCAGACCCCUACGCGUGGACGCAGUAGGUAAGCUCCCGCAAUGGGCGAUAGCAUGUAGAAGCAACGCCGCGAGAGUGAUGAGGGUCUCCGGGUCGUAAAGCUGAGUGAUGGGGGAAGAAAAAAUGUUUAAGUUACUAUGCACGUCUAGACGGUACCUAAGUAGAAGGCCUCGGAUAACUACGUG